Molecule: ribosomal RNA, 408 nt
Filed under: uncultured bacterium
Lineage: Bacteria
Description: partial 16S ribosomal RNA
Rfam family: Bacterial small subunit ribosomal RNA
Source: RNAcentral
AGUGAACGCUGGCGGCGUGCCUAAUACAUGCAAGUCGAACGGAGUGGCGCACGGGUGAGUAAUGUAUAUCUAAUCUGCCCUACACUAGAGGACAACAAUUGGAAACGACUGCUAAUACUCUAUAGUGUAGGUUGAGGCUAUAUUGUAUCAGCUAGUUGGUGAGGUAAUGGCUCACCAAGCCUAUGACGCAUAACUGGUCUGAGAGGAUGGUCAGCCGCACUGUAACGGAGACACGGUCCAGACUCCUACGGGAGGGAGCAGUAGGGUAUAUUGCCCAAUCGGCGUAUCCCUGAAGGAGCAACGCCGCGUGGAGGAUGAUAGUUUGCGGAGCGUAAACUCCUUUUGUUAGGGAAGCGGUACCUAACGAAUAAGCACCGGCUAACUCCGUGCCAGCAGCCGCGGUAAUUC